This 429-nucleotide ribosomal RNA is filed under the name Gemmatimonadota bacterium. RNAcentral describes it as "Gemmatimonadetes bacterium partial 16S ribosomal RNA". It matches the Rfam family "Bacterial small subunit ribosomal RNA", at positions 355 to 776 of the family's 1533-position model. Lineage: Bacteria; Pseudomonadati; Gemmatimonadota. The record is from RNAcentral.
UAGGGAAUCUUCGGCAAUGGACGAAAGUCUGACCGAGCAACGCCGCGUGAGUGAAGAAGGUUUUCGGAUCGUAAAACUCUGUUGUUAGAGAAGAACAAGGACGUUAGUAACUGAACGUCCCCUGACGGUAUCUAACCAGAAAGCCACGGCUAACUACGUGCCAGCAGCCGCGGUAAUACGUAGGUGGCAAGCGUUGUCCGGAUUUAUUGGGCGUAAAGCGAGCGCAGGCGGUUUCUUACGUCUGAUGUGAAAGCCCCCGGCUCAACCGGGGAGGGUCAUUGGAAACUGGGAGAGUUGAGUGCAGAAGAGGAGAGUGGAAUUCCAUGUGUAGCGGUGAAAGGCGUAGAUAUAGGGAGGAACACCAGUGGCGAAGGCGGCUCUCUGGUCUGUAACUGACGCUGAGGCUCGAAAGCGUGGGGAGCAAACAGG